This 914-nucleotide long non-coding RNA is filed under the name Homo sapiens (human). RNAcentral describes it as "non-protein coding lnc-RPS27L-9:3". The record is from RNAcentral. Lineage: Eukaryota; Metazoa; Chordata; Mammalia; Primates; Hominidae.
AUUCAUUGCUCAUUGCUUCCAAAUCCAAGGAACAGGCAUCUCGGAUCACUGCGCUGUGAGGGCAGGAGGACCCUUCUUUUGGAAAGCGGAAACAGGGCUACCCGAUCUAUCGGUGUCCUAUGGAACCACACUGCCCCCUGUGGUCAGAACCACCUGGGAUGCAGAACAGCAAGGACUGCAAACUUGGGUGCAGAGGGCUUUCCUCCACGCAACCCAGGAAGCUCCGUGAUUGGCAAACUGCUCUGUCAGGAUCCAUCGAAUCAGCAAACAUAGGUGCCUCUAGGAUGCAAACCAGGGAACAGGACUGUUAUGUGGCUUGCUGGUAGCCAAGCAAAAUGCCCCGAUCCAUCAGGUUGGUGAGAGGCCGCUGAAUGAGACCCAGCCUCGUGUUUUGUGGGAUGAAGAGAUGCAGACAAAGUGACUCAGGACCAGAAGGCCCCCUCAGUACCAUCUGAGGACACCGCAGUAGUGCCUAUUAAAUAACAUCCAGACAAGGCAUGGCCCUUCAACUAUCUUAUGAAAUGAGAAACCACCACACCGGCCACGAAGCCGUUCACAUACACAUGUGCAGGGUGGAUGAGGAAAGGACAGAUGAGAAACUGGGACCAUACCAGGUGAUAACUGAGAACCAAACUCCCCAAAGCUCCCAGCACUGGACGACUCCAGAAAGCGUCUUUUCUCUAACUUUACUGGUCUGAAAAAAAAAAAUUCUAAUACGUGCAGCACUUAUAAGUAACUUAUAAAUAUGGGAAGCUGUCAGAAGUUUAUGUAUUUUAAAACCAUGACAUGGGCUAGAGUCUGGUGAAACAAGAUCGGGCAAGGUCGAAAGGUGACAUCUUCGGAGGACCAAAGCACCAACUUUCCCCCGUCAGUGGAACUUUGAAACUAUAGUGUGGAUGGAGUCCAAGACAUGA